GGCCUGAUAGUUCAGUGGUAGAAUUCUUGCUUUGGGUACUCUAAUUGUAAGAGGUCUCCGGUUCGAUCCCGGAUUAGGCCC
Blumeria graminis is the source of this 81-nucleotide non-coding RNA. NCBI's taxonomy places the organism in Eukaryota, Fungi, Ascomycota, Leotiomycetes, Helotiales, Erysiphaceae. The record is from Rfam.